Molecule: transfer RNA, 76 nt
Filed under: Enterococcus raffinosus
Lineage: Bacteria; Bacillati; Bacillota; Bacilli; Lactobacillales; Enterococcaceae
Description: tRNA-Thr
Rfam family: tRNA
About the family: Transfer RNA (tRNA) molecules are approximately 80 nucleotides in length.
Source: RNAcentral
UGACGUGAAGCAUCAUUGGUGAUGCGUCUGACUGUUUUGGUUGGAAAUGAGGUCGGUUCGAAUCCGGCCGCGUCAA